Long non-coding RNA from Pyrus x bretschneideri (Chinese white pear), 707 nucleotides. RefSeq lists it as uncharacterized. The transcript has 3 exons. The record is from RefSeq and is a predicted model, not a curated record. Lineage: Eukaryota; Viridiplantae; Streptophyta; Magnoliopsida; Rosales; Rosaceae.
GCAAAUUAACCCGGCUUCCUCAGUCCUCUGCUUCUUCACUCUCCAUCUCUGAUACGAAUCCCUCCGCACAGAAGCCGUUUUGCCGUGCAAAUGCGCGACAUGGAUUCUUCUCUUCCUUCUGAUCUCUCUCGUCCUCAUCAACUUAUCGACCUCCGCAUCGCCGUCCGAUCCUCGUUGGGCAGCUAAGAAGCGACGCCUCAGAGAUAAAGUCCGUAGGGUGUUUUGCACUUUCGUUUGUAUGAUGUUCAAACUGGUUUCUUGGUAAAAGUUUCACUGACACUUUUUGCGAUGCAUGCAUGAUACGAUUCUUUCUACUUCAUCAUCAUCAGUCUCAAGAUACAGUUACGUGUACUUGUAUCUUGCAUAAUCUUUUCAAGAGUUCAUCUUUCAAGUUUCAAAACUAUAUGAAAUUGUUUGGUGGUUUUCUUUAUAAGAAGGAUAUAAGACUCCGCAUCAAUGCUAAAUUCUGUGGACAGUGUGGAUGGAGUGAUGGAGAAUGAGACUACUGAAACGAGCACUUCAGGGUGCGGUUCUCUAAUUCUGGGAAUGGGAGCAUUGUCCCGAUUGACUGGAGACCCCAAAUAUGAAUCGGCAGCUUUAUGUGCUCUUCGUGAAUUAUGGGGCAUGUGGAGUUCGUUGAAUUUACUCGGUACAACGCUAGAUGUAUCAACUGGUGAAUGGAUUGUGUAUUCAUCUGGAAUUGGAGC